AGGAACUAGGCCGGAGACAACAGAAGCUGAACUCCCUUCCACAGCUGCACAAGGACAAACCAGCAGUGCUGCAGGAACUGGGCCCGAGACAACAGAAGCUGAACUCCCUUCCACAGCUGCACAAGGACAAACCACUCAUGCUGCUGGAACUGGGCCGGAGACAACAGAAGCUGAACUCCCUUCCACAGCUGCACAAGGACAAACCACUCGUGCUGCAGG
Chiloscyllium plagiosum (whitespotted bambooshark) is the source of this 219-nucleotide non-coding RNA. The record is from RefSeq and is a predicted model, not a curated record. NCBI's taxonomy places the organism in Eukaryota, Metazoa, Chordata, Chondrichthyes, Orectolobiformes, Hemiscylliidae.